CCUACGGGAGACUGCAGUGAGGAAUAUUGGUCAAUGGACGAGAGUCUGAACCAGCCAAGUAGCGUGAAGGAUGACUGCCCUAUGGGUUGUAAACUUCUUUUAUAUGGGAAUAAAAUGUUCCACGUGUGGGAUUUUGUAUGUACCAUAUGAAUAAGGAUCGGCUAACUCCGUGCCAGCAGCCGCGGUAAUACGGAGGAUCCGAGCGUUAUCCGGAUUUAUUGGGUUUAAAGGGAGCGUAGGCGGAUUGUUAAGUCAGUUGUGAAAGUGUGCGGCUCAACCGUCAAAUUGCAGUUGAAACUGGCAGUCUGGAGUACAGGAGAGGUGGGCGGAAUGCGUGGUGUAGCGGUGAAAUGCUUAGAUAUCACGAAGAACUCCGAUUGCGAAGGCAGCUCACUGGACUGCAACUGACACUGAGGCUCGAAAGUGUGGGUAUCAAACAGGAUUAGAUACCCUGGUAGUC
This 460-nucleotide ribosomal RNA is filed under the name uncultured bacterium. Its description in RNAcentral is "partial 16S ribosomal RNA". It matches the Rfam family "Bacterial small subunit ribosomal RNA", at positions 338 to 795 of the family's 1533-position model. The record is from RNAcentral.